RNAcentral lists this long non-coding RNA (3506 nucleotides) under Oreochromis niloticus (Nile tilapia). RNAcentral describes it as "lncRNA (ENSONIG00000041058.1)". Lineage: Eukaryota; Metazoa; Chordata; Actinopteri; Cichliformes; Cichlidae. The record is from RNAcentral.
AUGCUCAACAGGAACGUUGUUCUUCUGUUCUCUCUGUUCUCUCUGCUCAUCGUGCUGGUGGAGGGAGACAUCGACUCCAGCGAUGCUGGAAUACAUGCCACAUCGACAGACAAAGAUUCUACAUCUGAUGAAGCUCCUACAGAGAGCAUAAACGCCAUCUCUCCUGAUCACCCUGAUGAAUCACAUUAUUACGGAGGAGGACCUUCAGACGUCAGCAGCUCCAGUUCACAGGCAGCAGACAAACCUGCUGUAGCUGCUCCAAACAGUGUGGAAGAAGAAGAUGAUGACUCUGAAGAAUUAGGGAAGAAAAAGUCCAGCUCUAGUUUGGCUAACCCGCAGAACUCCGCCCUCAACCACCAGAGUCCCGACCAUGCCAUUGAAAGCCCCGCCCUCCCACCACAGCCGGUAAUCCCUCAGCCCAAAACCCUGGUGAGGAGCCGAACGUCCAAGAGACGAUCCAGGAACAACCGCCGCCACAUAUAGAACAUCAACAGUCACAGUUAGAACACAAUGUUAAACCAAAUAAAACCCAAACGCACACAGAUCUGUCACAUGAUUAACACACACUCAUACGACACAUAAACUCACCUGAACACUCAAAGCAGGUUGACCUUCAGUUUCUAAAACUACCAGCAAAUUCAACUUGGUAGAAUCACCAAGCCAUCUGAUUUAUUCCAGGGUUGAGUGAAACUGCUGUCCAGAAUCCAGGGGUCAUAUUCAUUAUAUACAACAGAUAAACUCCAUGGAAAAAAGCAUUGGUCCACUCAGUCUCUUAAGGUGUUUUAACAUAUUUAACAUUAUUAUUCUGCUCUCAAUCAGAAGUUGUAAAAGUUUGGCUUACAAAAAAGAAAUACAUGAAAGACAUGAUGUCUUUUCUUUUCACACAGAAAAACCAAACUGUCACUACAAACCCUGUGAGAACCUUUAGUCUGCUUGUCUGCCAGAUGUUUGGGGCAGGAGCAAGAAAUGUAAGAACAGGAAGAAGGUUUUGGGUUCUUUCCCAGUGAUAAACAUGAAGGACCAUGAACUUAGAUUAAUUUUACGGCCAGGUGCUAGAUUGACUGUAUGUUUACUCUGCGUAAGAAAGAAAACGAAACAGAGCUCAAUUUAAUCGGAUUGAACACAGCAGGUGUGAAAAAUCUUCAUCUUUUUAAUUCAGGUGUUUUCAGUUCCAUUUCACAGGUGUAUAUAAUCCAACAGCUAGCCAGCCAGUCUGCCUUUACAAACAUUUGUGAAAGAACUAACUGAAUUUAAGUAUACCACUACAUCAGGAUACCAUGUUUGCAACAAGUCAGUUCGUAGAAUUUCUUCCCUUUAGAUGUUCUGCGUCAGCUUUACGUACUGUUAUUGCAAAGUGGAAGCAUUUAGGAACCACAGCAGCUCAGCCAUGAAGUGUCAGACCAACUUUUAUCUUUGGCCCUAAUGUAUUUCAUUGGCGUUGACCCCUGGAUCAAGCAGACCUCGGAGUAUUAAACCUGCUCAGUUUAUCUGUUUGCUGUUUUUAUUCUUUCUUUUAUAUGUGUGUUCCUGAAACAUUUAAACAUUUGUGAUGGUAAUUUCUUCUGAUUGCUUCAUUUAUCAGAUUUAAAUAAAGUUAAACUGAUCAUGAACUGUGGACCUUGUGACCUCUGAUUUUAUCACCAGUCCACCUGCAGAUUUGUGUGUAGUCCUGUGAAAAUUUUGGGGGUGUUUUCUCAAUGAGGCCAUAAUUCAUUUGAUACUGUUGACCAUAAUAGAGCGAUUAUAGUAGAGCGAUUAGAGGAUGCUGUAGCUAUUAAAGGUACUGUGCUUCAGUGGUUUGAAUAAGAUUUAUCUAACAGACAAUUGUUCAUGUAAAUGGAGAGUCCUUUUCACACACUAAGGUUAAUAAUGGAGUUCCACGGGGUUCUGUGCUAGGAUCAAUUCUGUUUACAUUAUACAUGCUUCCCUUAGGCCAGGCGUGUCCAAAGUCCGGCCCGCGGGCCAAUUGCGGCCCGCGGUCUAGUUUUAAUUGGCCCGCAAGUAAUUUUAUAAAUUGAAUAGAAAAUGGCCCGCACUUCAACUUUUGCUUGAGUGUAUUGCACUUCUUAGUUUUAACACCAGGGGGAGCUGCUGUUGAUCAAGGCAGUUGCUCUACCAAAAAGGACAAUCACAGAAGAAAUUUACCCCCAAGUUUUGAUUUGCACUGAAACUGUGGCAGUUAUGAAAGAGUAUAAUGUACGACGUCAUUAUGAAACCAAACAUCAGGCCUAUGCAUCCUACACUGGUGCUGGGCGAGAGCAGAAAUUAAAGCAAAUGCUAGCUCUCCUGCAGGGUCAGCAACAGUAUUUUUUUCGUGCUCAAAUUGUCCAGGAAAAGGCUCCAAUAGCAGCUAUGAGGUCGGGAUGGAGACCUCAUAAAACACGGCCUCGUUAAAGUCACCGAAAUAAUGUGCCCGGAAAAAGUGCAGGACUUCAACAACGUCAGCAUGUCCAGAAAUACAGUUGUGCGACGCAUUGAAGACUCGUCAGCCAAUAUUAAACUACAACUGUUUGAUAAAGCUGUGCUCUUGAUUUUUACUCCAUCGCAUGCGAUGAGAUCACCGAUGCCACAGACGCCGCACAGCUGCUAAUUUUUUGUGGGGAGUGGAUGAGAGCACGAGCACUUUAGGUGAGUAAAAAUAUAUUCCACAGUACCCGUGUGUUAAUGUGCAGGUACACAUGCUUCAAAUAUCAAUAAUGCGCAUACAUUCUGUCACUACCCUGCUUUUGCGCACCACUUUCUUAUAUGCGUUUUUCUUGUUAACACACAGAGUACACACCGCUGUGCACAGCGCACGCACACGCAAAGUCAGCUGAUCUCAUCUGAUGCAGAUCUGCUCCUUGGUCAAGUGACAUUUGUCCGGAUUUUUUGGCACGAGUGGCGUCGGAUCAGCACCGCAGCUGGAUGGCCCGAUUUACAUACCCAGCGCAGCUGAUACUCACCAGAAUAAUUUACUAAAAUUAUAUGCACUCCUGUUAUUAAGUCCAGUUCAGUCUGUUAAUGUUGAUAAUCGUUUCAAACGAACGUUAAUAGAUGUUUUGCUAAGCCUAAUAACUUAAAUAACAAGCUUGAAAUGUACCCAUCCCAUUUUCCCCUUUGUUUUUUCUCUGUGCUGUAAAUAUUCCCUCUAAGAAGAAAUCUGCUGCUGUUCUGAGAAUGAGCUACCAAAGCUUUUUCUGAAUAAAUCAAUAAAGAUCCAUUUAUGGAAAGCUGUGAUGAAAGCAGUUUUGUCUUUAAUUAUAUUCAACAAUAUAACACAUUUGACCAUUUUUAAGUGAUUUUUAAAACAGCAAAGGUUAUAUACCUAAUUUCUAGUAAGUGGCCCAGCCCCUCCUAUAUUUUUAUGUAUGUGGCCCUCAGCGAAAAAAGUUUGGACACCCCUGCCUUAGGCAGUAUCAUUAGAAGGCAUGGCAUAAAUUUUCACUAUGCCGAUGAUACCCAACUUUAUUUAUCCAUGGAGCCAGAUAACAAACAUCAAUUAGUUGAACUACAGGAAUAUUUUAAAG